RNAcentral lists this long non-coding RNA (450 nucleotides) under Gopherus agassizii (Agassiz's desert tortoise). Its description in RNAcentral is "lncRNA (ENSGAGG00000009630.1)". The record is from RNAcentral. Lineage: Eukaryota; Metazoa; Chordata; Testudines; Testudinidae.
AUGCCCAAGCCCAUCUGUUUAGGGAGCGAACAAAUGGGCAACAAGCGGAAGAAACUUUGCAUCUGCCUGGUAGGUGCCUUCAUCCUCAUAUUAGCUGCCAUAUUAAUCACUCUCACCUGCUGUGUGGUCGAGUGCCAGGGGCAGCUGAAGACCUCAGAUCUGGAUGAGAAACUCGCCAACCUGCAGGAGGAGAAGAGGUCCCUGGAAAAGCAGCGGGAUGGGGUGAGGGCAGAUGUCACGGCGCUGCGGUCAGAACUGGCCGCCACCAAUCAGACCCUUUGGGAGACGCGCGGGCGCUGGGACUUCUGCAGGAGCCUGACGCAUAAGCUGCAGAACAACAUCACUGCCCUGAGCGACAAAAUCACACAGCUGGAAGCCAGAGACUCUGAGCGGGAGGCCAAGGAACAAGGUUUACAAGAGAUCAGCUCGAAGCUAACAUCCAUUGGCUGA